RNAcentral lists this ribosomal RNA (253 nucleotides) under uncultured bacterium. Its description in RNAcentral is "partial 16S ribosomal RNA". It matches the Rfam family "Bacterial small subunit ribosomal RNA", at positions 524 to 776 of the family's 1533-position model. The record is from RNAcentral.
UACGAAGGGGGCUAGCGUUGUUCGGAAUUACUGGGCGUAAAGGGCGCGUAGGCUGCGCUGUAAGUCAGGCGUGAAAGCCCCGGGCUCAACCUGGGAAUUGCGCUUGAUACUGCGGCGCUGGAAGGUGGGAGAGGAUGGCGGAAUUCCCAGUGUAGAGGUGAAAUUCGUAGAUAUUGGGAAGAACACCGGUGGCGAAGGCGGCGCUCUGGACCGAGACUGACGCUGAGGCGCGAAAGCGUGGGGAGCAAACAGG